GCGACGGGCGAUAUGUACAUAUCGAUAUAAAAUAUCAAAAAAACUAAUUAUUUCUCUUUUACUCCCUAAUCCAACCUUCACAUUUCAUUAGACAUUUCAACUAACUUUACAGUUUCAUAUUACAAUAUAAAAGUAACUCAUCUAAACCUAUAAAAAUCUACAUUUUGACUUGAAUUUUUUAUUUAAAAAUUAACCUCAUUUAUUUAAAUAAUAAAUAAUAAAUUAAACAGCAAUACAUAAAAAAAAUUAUAGAUAAAAUUUAAUGAGUAAUAUCAAAUUAAAUAGACAAGUUCCUCAGAAUUUAACCAAAUACCGCCAAUACUUCUAAAAUUCAUAUAUGAAAAUCAAAUAAAAUCUUGAUAAUAUUUUUCAUUAAAAUAAUAGGGUAUCUAA
RNAcentral lists this ribosomal RNA (393 nucleotides) under Draculoides vinei. Its description in RNAcentral is "partial 12S ribosomal RNA". The record is from RNAcentral. Lineage: Eukaryota; Metazoa; Arthropoda; Arachnida; Schizomida; Hubbardiidae.